ACUCCUACGGGAGGCAGCAGUGGGGAAUAUUGCACAAUGGGCGCAAGCCUGAUGCAGCCAUGCCGCGUGUAUGAAGAAGGCCUUCGGGUUGUAAAGUACUUUCAGCAGUGAGGAAGGUGGGUAUGUUAAUAGCAUACUCAUUUGACGUUAGCUGCAGAAGAAGCACCGGCUAACUCCGUGCCAGCAGCCGCGGUAAUACGGAGGGUGCGAGCGUUAAUCGGAAUUACUGGGCGUAAAGCGCAUGCAGGUGGUUUGUUAAGUCAGAUGUGAAAGCCCGGGGCUCAACCUCGGAAUUGCAUUUGAAACUGGCAAACUAGAGUACUGUAGAGGGGGGUAGAAUUUCAGGUGUAGCGGUGAAAUGCGUAGAGAUCUGAAGGAAUACCGGUGGCGAAGGCGGCCCCCUGGACAGAUACUGACACUCAGAUGCGAAAGCGUGGGAGCAAACAGGAUUAGAUACCCGGUGACUCA
RNAcentral lists this ribosomal RNA (468 nucleotides) under uncultured bacterium. RNAcentral describes it as "bacterial SSU rRNA". It matches the Rfam family "Bacterial small subunit ribosomal RNA", at positions 335 to 797 of the family's 1533-position model. The record is from RNAcentral.